This 975-nucleotide ribosomal RNA is filed under the name Microbacteriaceae bacterium. RNAcentral's name for it is "bacterial SSU rRNA". It matches the Rfam family "Bacterial small subunit ribosomal RNA", at positions 432 to 1420 of the family's 1533-position model. The record is from RNAcentral. Lineage: Bacteria; Bacillati; Actinomycetota; Actinomycetes; Micrococcales; Microbacteriaceae.
UCUUUUAGCAGGGAAGAAGCGAAAGUGACGGUACCUGCAGAAAAAGCACCGGCUAACUACGUGCCAGCAGCCGCGGUAAUACGUAGGGUGCGAGCGUUGUCCGGAAUUAUUGGGCGUAAAGAGCUUGUAGGCGGUCUGUCGCGUCUGCUGUGAAAACCCGAGGCUCAACCUCGGGCUGCAGUGGGUACGGGCAGACUAGAGUGCGGUAGGGGAGAACGGAACUCCUGGUGUAGCGGUGGAAUGCGCAGAUAUCAGGAAGAACACCGAUGGCGAAGGCAGUUCUCUGGGCCGUAACUGACGCUGAGAAGCGAAAGCGUGGGGAGCGAACAGGAUUAGAUACCCUGGUAGUCCACGCCGUAAACGUUGGGCGCUAGAUGUGGGGACCAUUCCACGGUUUCCGUGUCGUAGCUAACGCAUUAAGCGCCCCGCCUGGGGAGUACGGCCGCAAGGCUAAAACUCAAAGGAAUUGACGGGGGCCCGCACAAGCGGCGGAGCAUGCGGAUUAAUUCGAUGCAACGCGAAGAACCUUACCAAGGCUUGACAUAUACCGGAAACGGCCAGAGAUGGUCGCCCCCUUGUGGUCGGUAUACAGGUGGUGCAUGGUUGUCGUCAGCUCGUGUCGUGAGAUGUUGGGUUAAGUCCCGCAACGAGCGCAACCCUCGUUCUAUGUUGCCAGCGGUUCGGCCGGGAACUCAUAGGAGACUGCCGGGGUCAACUCGGAGGAAGGUGGGGAUGACGUCAAAUCAUCAUGCCCCUUAUGUCUUGGGCUUCACGCAUGCUACAAUGGCCGGUACAAAGGGCUGCGAUGCCGUAAGGCGGAGCGAAUCCCAAAAAGCCGGUCUCAGUUCGGAUUGAGGUCUGCAACUCGACCUCAUGAAGUCGGAGUCGCUAGUAAUCGCAGAUCAGCAACGCUGCGGUGAAUACGUUCCCGGGCCUUGUACACACCGCCCGUCAAGUCAUGAAAGUCGGUAACAC